RNAcentral lists this long non-coding RNA (7511 nucleotides) under Salvia miltiorrhiza (redroot sage). RNAcentral describes it as "long non-coding RNA (SMIL_LNC010440)". The record is from RNAcentral. Lineage: Eukaryota; Viridiplantae; Streptophyta; Magnoliopsida; Lamiales; Lamiaceae.
UUCUUCCUUAACUCAUUCAAUUCUCUUUUAUUCUGAACAGAACUCUUUUCUCUCUCUCUCUCUGCUCUCUACCGCCCCUCUCUGUCCCUCUCUUUCCCGGCGAGCGUCGCCGGCCUUUGCGGCCUCCGGCGCGGCGAGGUCGGCCUCUUCUCUUCCCCCUUUUUUUCCUUCCAUUUCUUCUCCUCUUUCUCCUGAAUUUAGAAUAGAUCUAGGGUUUCUAAAUUUCCUGAAGUUUGUUCCUCCGGUGAACUCCGCCACUGCCGCCGCCGUGCUCGUCGCGCCGCCACCCCCUCUGAUUCAGGUAAGCCUCCCCAUCUCUCUUUCUCCUUUUUCUUUCUUCCUUUCUCUGCUCCUCUAUCUCGAUCUCUCUCUCUUUUCUGGUCAGGCCGCGGCGGCCGCUGCGAGCCGCGACAGCGCAUGCAGCGCCGGUGGCCGCCGCCGCCCUGCACUCCCCUCUCUCCCUCCAACUCGUUCUAUCCGUCUCUUUCUAUUUCACUCUCUAUCUCCCUGGUUUAAUCUCCCUCUCUAUUUCUCUCUCUGCUGUCAGUAGCCACCACGGCCGCCGUGGCGCCGGCGACCACCGCUGCCAGCCGUGCCUCCGCUGCGGUGGCUCGCGGCUGCUGCUGCUACUGCUAUUUCCCCCUUCUCCUUCUUCCUUCCAUCUUCUCUAUUUCCCAAUUCAAAAUCUCAUUCCAGCAAACUUCCAAUCUAAUUUCUAUUUCAGUUUUAACAUCACAAACUAAUAAAUCUCAAACUAUUUUCUGUUCCAGGAAUCGGUGAUUCAAGAUGGUUUGAGAUGGUUUCAUCGGCAGUUCAUCUACAGCCCAAGACUUUGUUUUUAUAAGACUCAGCCUUCUGUUUGGAUUAUUAUUGAUUUAUAAACUGUUGUAACUAGAUGUAUUCUGUAGAUGUUAAAGAAAAUUGAUGUUAUCUCUGCUAUUCUUGAUUACCAUCUAUGAGUGAUUACUGAGUUGAAGGAAGAAUACUACCUGCUUGUUUGCUGUGAUGACUGCUGGGGAUGAUUUAUGCUUUUGGGAUGGAUAUUUACUUUACUGUUUGGAGUUUGCAGAAUGGGGAAAAAUAAGAUUUAUGGUAACUCAUCGUAUUUAUACUCGUUUGAGUCGGUUUGAGGGAUUUGGCUGAGUGUAAAAUUGAGAGCUGAGUGUAAAGUUGGAAGAUACGUGUAGUAUCAAGCUCUACGUGUUCAUUCAAGGAGCUAAUUUGUUCUAAUGAAUUUUAACUGCUAACUAAAGCUCAUUAGAAAAAUAACUGAUUCUCUAAUAUAACUAUGAGGCAUUGGGCUUUAUAUUAUUACAUCAGCCUCUUGGCCCAAGUGAUAACCAUUGGCCCAUCUGAACUGAAUUCAUAUAUAUAACAUUGGGCUUUGGUUAUAAAACAAAAUUACUAGCCCAAACAAUAAUAUUAUUGGGCGUCUUUUUAUAAUAAAACUCUUAGCCCAGUUAAAAGGCUUAUUGGGAUUCAUCUUAAAACUGAAUUCAUAUAUAAUAACUUGGGCUCGACUACUCCAGCCCAAAAUAACUAUUGGGCUUUCUACUCUUACACAACUUUUGGCCCAUUUAUCCAUAAUUGUUGGGCUUUUUGCAUAAAAUCCUAUCAACCUUAAAAUCAUGAAAUACUCGGGCUUCUAUGAUUUUAAAAAAAAUCUCGAUAUAAUCUGCUCGUUAAAUAACUAAGUUCAGGUUUUGCAUAAAAAUUGAGACUUCUCUUUCUUCUUUAAAAUCAUAGAAAACAAUAUUAAUAAUAUAUAUACUGUGGUGAAAAUGCUGGGUGUUACAUCCUCUCCCCCUUAAAAAAAAUUUCGUCCUCGAAAUUUGCGUACCUAGUUGAACAACUUUAGGUGUUUCUUGUCUUCAAGCUCUCAUGUUGCUUUAUGUUGCCCGUAAUAUCUCCACAAGAAACACAUCAAUGCGAUUGACUGAUUCCUUAAAUCCUAUGUCUUUCAAUUCAAGAUAAUUUCUGUUCUCUUUUCAUAGAUCUAGUCUGGCUAAGUAUUAUCUCAUCCUGAUGAAUUACGUGUUUGAGGUUGAACACGUAUUUUCUUAGUUGUGUUACAUGGAAUACAUAAUGAGCACUACUGAAACUCGGGGUAGAGCUACUUUAUAUGCAACAAGACCUAUCUUUUCUAAAGUGUUACAUGGUUCUUUAGAUGUGGGCUUCAAUCUUCCUUUCUUAUCGAAUCUGUGCAUUCUUUUAGAAUGUAGAGCUUUAAGGAAAUCUCUGUCCCCCAGUUUCAAAAAUUUAACUCAAAUCGACGAGUGUCUAGCAUAAAAUUUCUAUCGAUCUUGAUCCUUCUUGAACAGUUGUUGAAUUUGUUGGAUAAGUGUAACCGUUUCUUCAACUGCAUCAGAUCCCAGCACCUUUUCUUCCACCUAUCUCAUCUCAAUAUAGUGAGGACUGACAUUUCCUUACAUAAAGUGCUCUAUAGGUGUCAACAACUGUUGCCCGAAACUAGUAUUCUAGGAAAACUCAAUGGGUAGCAAAGCUUAUUCCCAAUUUGUUCCUCGAUCUAAUACAAUAGUUCAUAUCACAUUUUCCAGGGUCUAAAUAGUUCUCUCAAAGUGACCAUCUAUUGUUUGUGAAUGAAAUAUUGUUUCAAAAUUUAGCUGAGUUAUGAAAACGGAAAGAUCAUAUGAAAUCUGGGUUGAGGUGUCAAAAAGGGUUAUGAAACUUAGGCUGCAAGAACUGGAUUAUCCAACACACAAGUUGGAACUAGCAGCAAUGAUAUUAUGGAACAAAGUGUAAAAUUUAGACAAAUCACAAAAGUUUAAAAUGCUUAUUCGAGCAAAAGAUCUAGAUAUGAGGCAAAAGAUAGCUCGAAUUAAUAAAAGAUUAUGAUUGUGAAUAAAUUAUCAUCCAUGAAAAGCUAAUAAAGUGUGGAUGCUUUGAGUAGAAAAAUUUAAGUUAACUAAGGAAUUCUCCUUACCCAUAAAGAAAAAUUCUCAUCAAGGAUUUUAAAAGGUUGUAAUUAGAAGUGGUUCUACCACUGCAAACUAUAGAAGCUGUAAUUGCAAUGUUAACAACAACUCAUGAUUUGAGAAUCAAAAUUCUUACGGUAACAAGAGAAAAUGACAGGUACAAAAUUAUGGGUAAGGAAUAGAAGGGAUUGAUAAUUCCCAAGAAGUUCGGGGUAAAGCUAUCUUGUUUGAGAAAAGAUUAUGUAUACUCAACAAAGAAUAGUUGAGAAAUGAAAUCAAAAGUUAAGCUCAUGUAUGCUAGAUAUUGCAUACCCAGGAAACACUAAAAUAUAUCAAGAUCUCAAACAAAACUUUGGUGGAAAGAAAUAGAAAUGAAAUAUAGCUUUGGUUCUAGAAACAUGUUUGGCUUGCCAACAAGUAAGGCACUACCUCGAAAACCUUAUGAGAAAUUCUAACCAUUAUCUAUGUCAAUCUUAUAAGGUGCAUAUCGAGAUAUGUCACGAAACUCAUGAUCAUAUUUAGCUACGGUCUUCUUUCCUUGCUUUAAAUUGCUAAAUUUCGUCUCCUUUUUACCGACGAUAGUUUCUGGAAACAAAUUCUUCAAAAAUACUUCUGUGAACUAACCCCAAAUAAGAUUCUCUAAUCGCUCGAGGGUAGAUAUCUUCUGCUUCGUCUCCCACUCAUAGUCAGUUGAUCCUUGUAGUUGAAAUAACAUACAAGAAGGCACUCUUGAUCAUUGCAUCUAAGAAAGCGAAACUCGCGAAACUCUACUAUAAACAGGGGAAUUUUGACGAUAAAAAACUUCCGAAAUUCGUCUUUCAAGUUGAUGGAGAUGAGUAGGUCUCUAAAUUAUUCGCAUGGCAGAUGGCAGAUUUCCAUUGCUUCUUUGAGACAUCAUGCCGAGUAAAUACACAAAUUCCCAAAAUUAAGCUUUCAUCCCAUCAAUAAGGUCAAACUACUACUUAACUAUAAAUCAGCUAAGUUAUAAAACUCAUAUACUAAAAUUAAACCAUCUAAGCAAUUAAAGCUCAACAGCCUAGUAAAUGACCACUUUGAUCAUUUCAUAUCAUGGGAAAAAUUUGCCUCAACGAGUUCUCAUACAAAAGAUGAGAAUAUACGUUGCAAAAAGGCUCUUAGUACUAAUUGCGAUGUCCUAACUGCAUAACAUCACUACUAGUACUAGGUUACAGUGCCACUGACAUAACUCGCUACUGUAUCAUCUAACUGUCUAUAUCUGCAUCCAUACAAUGUAUAGAUAUACGUACACACCAUCAUCUAAAAGAUUUUCAUUGCUAACAACAAAUGAAAAUCCCCACAUAUCAAGAUACAAGUAUUAAAAUAUGAACAACACUUUAUCCGUUCAAGAAGUUCAUACUAGUAGAGAUAUCAUAAAUAAACCAUGUUAUUCAUAUUCACUCACUUGUAAACAUUAAACUUCUCCAAUACUAGUUUCUUGCAAAAAUUGCAAUAUUAAAACUUUCUUGCAAAAUUGCAUAGUAAUAACUCAAACUCUUUCAAAACUGUAAAUUGUACUUUAAACCUGAAAAUCCAGUACCUGGCUAGCUGGAUGAGAUGGAGGCAGAGCUUUUACUAUAUUACUCAUACUAGUCCAAAGAUUCAAAUUUAGACUAACUCAAAGGAAUAUUUAGGCUCAGAGAAAGACUGCUCUGAUACCACUUUGUCACACCCGACCUAAGCUAGUGAAUAGUUAAGUCGGGAAAAAGGUGUGACUGAAAACAAAAUAAGAAAAUGAAAACGAAAAUAGAUCUCAAUAAAAAUCACUAACCUGCUUAAACAAUAAUUUACCAAAAUAUUUGGUAAUCAUAAACAACACAUCAGUAAAGUAAAACGCACUAAGCGUUGCAGCGGAAAUAGCUUAAGUGGAUUACAUGUAUGAAGACAUGGAAUCCUGAGCCUAUUUAUACUUAUAUCAAAAGCUUUUGCUCUGCUGCCUCCAUCUGCAUCACCAGCUUAACCUGCAUAUUUAGAAAACAUAUGCAGGGCUGAGUACUAAAAAGGUACUCAAUGGUCACAUGCCGAAAUAACUUAAAGCUUGCUCUUAGAGCUAUAUAUAUUGAACUUGCCUUCAGCAUCACACAGAGUUUUAUUUAAAUAACUGUGCAGCCAAAAUGUAAAACUUCUUUAUAUAUCAUCAUAACAUCAUAACGUCUGCAGACAUACUUCUUGUACUUACCAUAUCUGCAAUGAUAAUGUGUGCCGAGAAGGUGGCCACCUUCUACGGUCACUGACGGCCGAUACGCUAAACCGGCUCACGGUCCUAGACCGGCCGAUACGCUAAACCAGCUCACGGACCUAGACCGGCCGAUACGCUAAACCGGCUCACGGUCCUAGCCGGCCGAUAUGCUAAUCGGCUCACGGUCCCUUGUGUACACUAAUCCUGUCUAACAUCUGGAUAGAACAGGAUCCGAAUUCGAUUAACUUCUGGUGCCAGAUAGGUAUCAUACAAGCUCAUAAAAUUUUGGCAAGUCAAUAACUUUAAUAUAACUAUCAUGUAAACAUCAUGAAAUAGUGACUUCAAUUUUGAGUUUAGAAAGCCCACCUGAUCGUGGUCUGACGACACAAGUAACUCUGAACUAAUGCUUUACUUCUUGCCCUUGUAUGACCUUCAGUAUAAAACUGACUAAUAAAAAUGAGAAAUGAUAUGAACUGAUUUAAAGAAUACUUACCUUGAUUUUAAGAAAUAGUUUAGUGGAACUUAUGGAAUGAAGACUAAUUGCUACAUGGCGAACUUAUCAAUAAAUACCAACAUAUUAUCUAAACCACAACCUAAACUACGAUAAUCAUAACUCUAACAUUAAUCAAAACUCCACUUACUCUAAUUUAAUAAAUAGCUAUUAAUUGGAAAUAAUAUAAAUCAAUUUUUCUCUUCUUUCAAGAACUUAAGUCUAUAAUAAUCUAGUGUCUAAUUUAUGCAUAAUUACAUAGAGUAAUAGCAUAAAUUAAUUAUAAUGAUCCUACAAGUCCAGGCUAUUUAAUAAAUCAAGUCAAUUAUUAGCUACUAGCUAAUAAUCCUUUAUAUAUAUUUAUAGGCUUAAAUUAAAAUAACUUAGCUCACUUUAACAAAAUUAAGGGUCCAACUAAAUUAAUAAUAGCACAAUAAUUAAAUUAAGACCAAUUUUAAACCAAAGCCACCACGGCAUUAACCAACCCAAGCCCAACAGUAAUUUAAUUUACAAAAGUCCAUCAGCUCUUAUUAGCCCAAGUAAUUGUUUAAGCCCAACUGUAAUUACCCAUUAUUCUUUAAUAAAUAAAAUCUAAUCUAAACAAAUUAAUCACCCUUUUCCUUUUCUUCUACGCAAUAGCAUCACUCUCUCCCUCUCUCUGCGUUCUCUCCUUUUUAUUUCUACUGGCGCUCUCUCGCUCUUUCCCCCUCCGGCAGAUGUCGCCGGUCCUCCCCGCCUCCGACGCGGCGAGGCCGGCCCUCUCCUUCCCCCCCAUCCUUUUCUUUCUUCCCUACUUCCUUCCCAAUUUCUAAAAUCCCCAAAUUAUAGGGUUUGCUGCCUUCCUUUUUCCCUCUGAAAUUCGCCCCUCCGGCGAGGCCCGCCACUGCCGCCGCUGUCUCUGUGGCACCACCGCCACCUCUGUCUCAGGUAAUCUAUCUUCCUCCCUCUCUCACGAUCGAUCUCUCUCUGUCCUCUCUCUCUGCUCUCUCUCUCUCGAUCUUCCCCUCUGCCCUCUUGCUUGCGGCGGCCGCGGCAGCGGCAGCGCAUGCAGCGCCGGCGGUCGCCGCCGCUCUGCUCUUCUCUCCCUGCCUCUAUCUCGCUCUACUUUCUCUCAUGUCCGUGUCUCUCUGUCUCUGUCUUACUCUCUGUUUCUCUCCCUCGCUCAAACUCUCUCUGCUACUGGCGGCCACCGCGGACCGCCGUGGCGCAGGCAACGCCGGCAGUCGCGCCUUUGCCGCGGUGGCUCGCGGCUGCUGCUAUCGCUUGCCUCUUCUUCCUCCUCUGUUUCUGUUUCUCUUACUUUCUUUCUUUUCUAGUUUAAUAGCUUGUUUAGCAAAUCCCUAACUAUUUCCUUAUCUCAGGAAUCGAUGAUGAUUCAACUCCGGCGAGGCAGCCCGCCUCCUGAUCAAUGCUCAAGAUUCUAUUUUUUCUACCUUUCUUAUUGUAAAUUUAUGUUCUUUCAUUGAUUGAUUAUUGAAAAACUGAAGCUGUAAUGGUUGGGAAAUCGUGCUGUGCUUAUAGAAAUUAGAGUUAGAGAUAUCUCUGUUUGUGCUUAACUGGUGUAGCUAUGUCUGUUUUCACUGCUUUUCUUUACAUACUGAAUAUACUGUAUUGAAUAAGAAAGACUACCUUCUUUGAUGUCUGCUGUGGAGGAUGUGUGUUUGAAUGGAUGAUUGCUGCGUGUUUUAGAUUUGCAGAAUGGAAACGAAACGGAAUUACUGAGGCUACUCAAGAUAUACUGGUUUGAGUCGGUUGAUGUGAAGCAGCUGCGUAAAAGUUACAAGCUACGCGUCCUUCUGUUAGCUAAUCUGACUUAACAACUCUAAUUAAUGUCUUAAAUCUAAUUAAAAGUUAAUUGCUUUACUAAUGAUAUAAAGGAUUGGACUUGGAC